GGUUUGAUCCUGGCUCAGAUUCAGGCACUGGCGGGAUGCGCUUUUACACAUGCAAAAUCGAACGGCAGCACGGACUUCGGUCUGGUGGCGAGUGGCGAACGGGUGAGUAAUGUAUCGGAACGUGCCUAGUGGCGAGGGGGAUAACUACGCGAAGGCGUAGCUAAUACGCAUACGCCCUUCGGGGAAAGCGGGGGACCUUCGGGCCUCGCCCUUCAAUAGAGCGGCCGAUAUCGAGUUAGCUAGUUGGUGGGAGUAACGGCUCACCAAGGCGACGAUCCGUAGCUGGUUUGAGAGGACGACCAGCCACACUGGGACUGAUUUUACGGCCCAGACUCCUACGGGAGGCAGCAGUGGGGAAUUUUGGACAAUGGAAACCCUGAUCCCAGCCAUCCCGCGUGUGCGAUGAAGGCCUUCGGGUUGUAAAGCACUUUUGGCAGGAAAGAAACGGCACGGGAUAAUACCCCGUGCAACUGACGGCCUGCAGAAUAAGCGCCGGCUAACUACGUGCCAGCAGCCGCGGUAAUACGUAGUUAGCCGGUGCUUAUUCUGCAGGUACCCAAAUCAGUUGCACGGGAGUAUUAUCCCGUGCCGUUUCUUUUGCCACUGCCAAAAGUGCUUUUCACCCCGAGCCUUCAUCGCACACCUGGAUGGCGCUGGAUCAGGGUUUCCCCAUUGUCCAAAAUUCCCGCCCUUGCCUCCAUUAUGUCUCAAUCCCAGUGUGGCUGAUCGUCUCUCAAACCAGCUACGAGAUCGUCGCCCUUGUGAGCUCUUACUGCACCAACUAGCUAAUCCCGAUAUCGUGCCGCUCUGUAGUGCCCGAGGCCCGAGGCUCCCCGCCUUCCCCAGCGUAUGCGAAGUGAUGAAAGUACCAGCGUAGUUAAAUCCCCGCCCGCCAGGCACGUUCGAUGCAUUACUCUUACGUUCGCCAGCUCGCCGCCCGGACGAGUCCAUGCUACGCCGUUCGACUGCAUGUUGUAGGCAUCCGUAACCGUCUGAGCCGGGAUCAAACCUGUUGUGAUGCUCCAGGGCUGGCUUA
This 1036-nucleotide unclassified non-coding RNA is filed under the name uncultured Bordetella sp. RNAcentral's name for it is "partial 16S-23S ribosomal RNA intergenic spacer". The stretch from base 1 to 547 matches the Rfam family "Bacterial small subunit ribosomal RNA", at positions 9 to 546 of the family's 1533-position model. The record is from RNAcentral. Lineage: Bacteria; Pseudomonadati; Pseudomonadota; Betaproteobacteria; Burkholderiales; Alcaligenaceae.